Tachyglossus aculeatus (Australian echidna) is the source of this 107-nucleotide small nuclear RNA. NCBI's taxonomy places the organism in Eukaryota, Metazoa, Chordata, Mammalia, Monotremata, Tachyglossidae. The record is from RefSeq and is a predicted model, not a curated record.
GUGCUAGCUUUGGCAGCACACAUACUAAAAUUGUGAAUGAUAAAGAGAAGAUUUAGCAUGGCCCCUGUGCAAGAAUGACGCAAAUUUGUGAAGUGCUCCAUAUUCCC